CCUACGGGGGGCAGCAGUGGGGAAUAUUGCACAAUGGGCGAAAGCCUGAUGCAGCGACGCCGCGUGAGUGAAGAAGUAUUUCGGUAUGUAAAGCUCUAUCAGCAGGGAAGAUAAUGACAGUACCUGACUAAGAAGCCCCGGCUAACUACGUGCCAGCAGCCGCGGUAAUACGUAGGGGGCAAGCGUUAUCCGGAUUUACUGGGUGUAAAGGGAGCGUAGGUGGCUAGGUAAGUCAGGUGUGAAAGCCCGGGGCUCAACCCCGGGAUUGCACUUGAAACUACUUAGCUAGAGUGCAGGAGAGGUAAGUGGAAUUCCUAGUGUAGCGGUGAAAUGCGUAGAUAUUAGGAGGAACACCAGUGGCGAAGGCGGCUUACUGGACUGUAACUGACACUGAGGCUCGAAAGCGUGGGGAGCAAACAGGAUUAGAUACCCGGGUAGUCC
This 441-nucleotide ribosomal RNA is filed under the name uncultured bacterium. RNAcentral's name for it is "bacterial SSU rRNA". It matches the Rfam family "Bacterial small subunit ribosomal RNA", at positions 338 to 796 of the family's 1533-position model. The record is from RNAcentral.